Molecule: ribosomal RNA, 247 nt
Filed under: uncultured bacterium
Lineage: Bacteria
Description: partial 16S ribosomal RNA
Rfam family: Bacterial small subunit ribosomal RNA
Source: RNAcentral
CUCGCGAGAGUAAGCUAAUCUCUUAAAGCCGUUCUCAGUUCGGACUGUAGGCUGCAACUCGCCUACACGAAGUCGGAAUCGCUAGUAAUCGCGGAUCAGCAUGCCGCGGUGAAUACGUUCCCGGGUCUUGUACACACCGCCCGUCACACCAUGGGAGUCAGCAACGCCCGAAGCCAGUGACCCAACUGAGAAGAGGGAGCUGUCGAAGGCGGGGCCGAUAACUGGGGUGAAGUCGUAACAAGGUAGC